UCCACGUGGUGGGAGUAGGGCUUUGGACCAGUGAUCAUUAACCACCUCUGGGUUAAACCAGCCCAAGGUGAUUGCAAUUCACACUACAAGAGGCCCCUCUUCUGUGGUUGAAAUGGAAAUCAAGUUUGAAAUGUCAAGCAGUUGUCUGAGGCAUAGCAGUCAGAGAAAUUGAACUGUCAGAAACUAACACAAGAAUAAUAAGAGGAUAUUUCUUCUUCAUUGGACACCAGAGAUGAAUAGCAGGCAGUGAAAUGUACUCUGAACACAGUGAGCAUGCUUCAUCUGUCAAAUUUAGUUACACUUUAUUGCAUCUCUCAUUAGCUGAGAUCAUGGGGAAAAACAUUUCUCAUGCUGUUGGACUGCCAACUCAUAUUUGGACAACAGUUAAGCUCUUAAGCAAUGAAGCAUCUGCCUAAGAUUCUAUUGCCUCAAACUCCAAAACAACCCAAGGAAGUGUUUGGCCAGGAAAUGGCCUUAGAUCUGCCUGCACUAUUGAAGAAGGGCAACCAGCAAGUACUCUUCUCUUCCAGGAGGAAAGGAGGUGUCUCAUGGACUGUUCAUCUUGCCACCAGCAGAGAAAGAUCUGUGCCAUUUAUAUAAACA
Molecule: long non-coding RNA, 603 nt
Filed under: Monodelphis domestica (gray short-tailed opossum)
Lineage: Eukaryota; Metazoa; Chordata; Mammalia; Didelphimorphia; Didelphidae
Description: lncRNA (ENSMODG00000032843.2)
Source: RNAcentral